UGAGGAAUAUUGGUCAAUGGGCGCAAGCCUGAACCAGCCAUGCCGCGUGCAGGAUGACGGUCCUAUGGAUUGUAAACUGCUUUUAUACAGGAAGAAACACUCCCUCGUGAGGGAGCUUGACGGUACUGUAGGAAUAAGGAUCGGCUAACUCCGUGCCAGCAGCCGCGGUAAUACGGAGGAUCCAAGCGUUAUCCGGAAUCAUUGGGUUUAAAGGGUCCGUAGGCGGUUUAAUAAGUCAGUGGUGAAAGCCUUCCGCUUAACGGGAGAACGGCCAUUGAUACUGUUAGACUUGAAUUAUUAGGAAGUAACUAGAAUAUGUAGUGUAGCGGUGAAAUGCUUAGAGAUUACAUGGAAUACCAAUUGCGAAGGCAGGUUACUACUAAUUGAUUGACGCUGAUGGACGAAAGCGUGGGUAGCGAACAGG
RNAcentral lists this ribosomal RNA (424 nucleotides) under uncultured bacterium. Its description in RNAcentral is "bacterial SSU rRNA". It matches the Rfam family "Bacterial small subunit ribosomal RNA", at positions 355 to 776 of the family's 1533-position model. The record is from RNAcentral.